AUCAUUCAACUCUCGAGUUUCUUGGCUGAUAACAGACCCUGUGAAUGUUAUCGUGUUGGUUGGUUCUCCUCGGUGAUCGGGCGAAAUGACGGUAGCGGCAGGGAUCGGGUACGCGCUACUAGCGUUAGGCCCGUCUCUCUCCCUCUUCGUCUCUGUAAUUUCCAAAAAGCCGUUCUUAAUCCUCACUGUUCUCUCCAGUACGUUGCUGUGGCUUAUAAGUUUGAUUGUGCUGUCUGGAGUAUGGAGGGGUUUCCUUCCUCUAAAAAGGACGACAUGGUGGCCUUUUGGAAUACUUAUAUUGACGUCUGUUGCUUUCCAAGAAGGGCUUCGUGUUUUAUUCUGGAAAGUCUACAAGAGGCUGGAAGAUAUUUUAGACGCUUUUGCUGACAGAGUAUCAAAACCACAUCUUUCACUGACUGAUAAAAUGCAAAUUGCUCUGGCCGGUGGUUUGGGUCAUGGUGUGGCACAUGCUGUGUUCUUCUGCCUCAGCCUAUUGACUCCUGCAUUUGGUCCAGCUACAUUUUUUUCUGACAGAUGCUCACAGAUACCAUUUUUCCUUCUUUCUGCAAUUAUUGCUCUUGCAUUUGUCACAAUUCACACUUUCUCAAUGGUCAUUGCAUUUAAUGGAUACGCAGAGGGGAAUAAACUGGACCAAUAUACUGUUCCCAUUGUCCACCUUGUUGCAGGGAUGGUGACUCUCGUAAACUUGGCGCCUGGUGGCUGCAUUGUUGGAAUUCCUCUCCUAUAUUUCAUUGCAAUGCUGAACUUAUUCAACUGUGGAAGAAUAGUAUGGAGAAGGCUGACUGAAAACCAGAGCAGAUAGGCCUCCCUUGACGUCAGGUUCAAGCUUGUUAAAGCCAUGGCAAAGAGUUUGAUCGCAAUUGCUUUCAGACUCUGGCAAUGACAGCAGCCCUUUCUGUGAGAUGGUGAAAGUCUUUAGAAGGCACGUGACUUUAUCUUAUCAUUAUCCUUGAGUAUUAUACCUUUGAAUCCUUAUGCUUGUAUACCAUGUACAAACAGGUGCUAAUGUAAAUGUUGGUGCUAGUAGAGCAACUAAUUGACGCAUUUGCUAUUUUAUUGCUUCUUUUUUAAGGCACACCUGAUGAACCAAGUGAUUGUCAUUUGACUUUUUGAAAGACCCGGUGGGAUGUAUAAACUCAUCUCAUUAUGUACUGCAUUAUAUGGUGUGGUUUUUAUUGUUCUCGAUAUUGUGAAUUUCAAAUCUGGAGUACUGCACACAAUUACAUUAUGUUUCCUAAGAAUACUGUAGUGUUCAGUCAUUUACAUUCUAGGGUAUUGAUCCUGUGUUUGUUAUUGUUUCUCA
This is an RNA transcript of Prosopis cineraria, 1324 nucleotides long. It is a transcript of the gene named gamma-secretase subunit APH1-like, with no coding region annotated. NCBI's taxonomy places the organism in Eukaryota, Viridiplantae, Streptophyta, Magnoliopsida, Fabales, Fabaceae. The transcript has 8 exons. The record is from RefSeq and is a predicted model, not a curated record.